This is a long non-coding RNA of Mustela erminea (ermine), 90 nucleotides long. RefSeq lists it as uncharacterized. The record is from RefSeq and is a predicted model, not a curated record. Lineage: Eukaryota; Metazoa; Chordata; Mammalia; Carnivora; Mustelidae. The transcript is spliced from 3 exons.
GGCAUUCAUCCCAAAAGAAAGAACAAGGAAAGGUCACAGCCAGGGAUCUAAUCAAAACAGAUACAGGGGCGCCUGGGUGGCUCAGUGGGU